UACGUAGGGGACCGAGCGUUGUCCGGAAUCAUUGGGCGUAAAGAGCGUGUAGGCGGCUUGCUAAGUCUUGCGUGAAAUCUCGGGGCUCAACCCCGAGCGGUCGUGGGAAACUGGCAGGCUAGAGUGCGGGAGAGGAGAAUGGAAUUCCUGGUGUAGCGGUGAAAUGCGCAGAUAGUCAGGAGGAACACCGAUGGCGAAGGC
Molecule: ribosomal RNA, 201 nt
Filed under: uncultured bacterium
Lineage: Bacteria
Description: partial 16S ribosomal RNA
Rfam family: Bacterial small subunit ribosomal RNA
Source: RNAcentral